UUCGCAAUGCCCGAAAGGGUGACGAAGCGACGCCGCGUGUGGGAAGAAGGCCUUCGGGUUGUAAACCACUGUCGGGAGUUAAGAAAUGCAAGGAUAUGAAUAGUGUCUUUGCUUGACUAAGGCUCCGGAGGAAGCCACGGCUAACUCUGUGCCAGCAGCCGCGGUAACACAGAGGCGGCAAGCGUUGUUCGGAAUUAUUGGGCGUAAAGAGCACGUAGGCGGCUAUGUAAGUCGGUUGUGAAAGCCUUCCGCUCAACGGGAGAACAGCAUCCGAUACUACAUGGCUUGAGUGCGGGAGGGGAGAGUGGAACUUCUGGUGGAGCGGUGAAAUGCGUAGAUAUCAGAAGGAACGCCGGCGGCGAAAGCGGCUCUCUGGCCCAUAACUGACGCUGAGUGUGCGAAAGCUAGGGGAGCAAACGGGAUUAGAUACCCCGGUAGUCCUAGCCGUAAACGAUGGGCACUAAGUAGAGGGGUUUU
RNAcentral lists this ribosomal RNA (477 nucleotides) under uncultured bacterium. RNAcentral describes it as "bacterial SSU rRNA". It matches the Rfam family "Bacterial small subunit ribosomal RNA", at positions 365 to 832 of the family's 1533-position model. The record is from RNAcentral.